This 345-nucleotide unclassified non-coding RNA is filed under the name Xylodon sp. RNAcentral's name for it is "partial contains 5.8S ribosomal RNA, internal transcribed spacer 2, and large subunit ribosomal RNA". Lineage: Eukaryota; Fungi; Basidiomycota; Agaricomycetes; Hymenochaetales; Schizoporaceae. The record is from RNAcentral. RNAcentral also lists the same sequence under 1 other name.
AACGCAUAUUGCGCUCUUUGGUAUUCCGAAGAGCAUGCUUGUUUGAGUAUCAGUAAACACCUCAAAGCCCUUUUUCUUUUUUUUGAAGAAAGGCUUUGGACUUGAGCAAUCCCAACACUUUUUUCUUAAGAGUGGCGGGUUGCUUGAAAUGCAGGUGCAGCUGGACAUUCUCCUGAGCUAAAAGCAUAUUCAUUUAGUCCCGUCAAACGGAUUAUUACUUUUGCUGCAGCUAACAUAAAGGGAGUUUGACCAUUUUGGCUGACUGAUGCAGGAUUUUCACAAGAGUCUUCAAAAGCUCUUGUUAAACUCGAUCUCAAAUCAAGUAAGACUACCCGCUGAACUUAA